CGCCGAAGGUGGGGCUAAUGACUGGGGUGAAGUCGUAACAAGGUAGCCGUACCGGAAGGUGCGGCUGGAUCACCUCCUAACAGGGAGACAACAAAAUGUUUAAUAUUAUUAUUUUGUCACCUUAGGUCGAUCGGUAUCUCACGUUCUUAAUUUAUUAAGAAUUUCAUUUCCUAAGUUUUUCUAGGUCACACCCAUUAUUUUCCUGGGCCAUUAGCUCAGGUGGUUAGAGCGCACCCCUGAUAAGGGUGAGGUCCCUGGUUCAAGUCCAGGAUGGCCCAUAUCUCUAUGUUGGGGGUAUAGCUCAGUUGGUAGAGCGCCUGCUUUGCAAGCAGGAUGUCAGCGGUUCGAGUCCGCUUACCUCCACUGAUUACCACCUCUUCCAUAAUCUGUAGAAAGGAAAAUUUUUUGAGUUGUGAUCCUUAUUCUGAACGAAUCUAGCUUCCUAAUGAAAUCAUUAAGAUGCUGGACUCAUUGAAUUAAUUUCAUUGUUUUCAGAGAACCUUGACAACUGCAUAGAUUAUUUUUUAAGACAAUAAGCAUCUUUAAUGAUGCAGAUUUAUUAUUUGUGCAAAUGCAUUAAUAACAAUUCUAUUAAGCUGAUGCUUCAAUUAUGAAGUUAUUGGUCAAGCUACAAAGGGCUCACGGAGGA
This 649-nucleotide unclassified non-coding RNA is filed under the name uncultured Prochlorococcus sp. RNAcentral's name for it is "partial may contain 16S ribosomal RNA, 16S-23S ribosomal RNA intergenic spacer, and 23S ribosomal RNA". The stretch from base 291 to 363 matches the Rfam family "tRNA". Lineage: Bacteria; Bacillati; Cyanobacteriota; Cyanophyceae; Synechococcales; Prochlorococcaceae. The record is from RNAcentral.